Molecule: transfer RNA, 74 nt
Filed under: Genlisea tuberosa
Lineage: Eukaryota; Viridiplantae; Streptophyta; Magnoliopsida; Lamiales; Lentibulariaceae
Description: tRNA-Leu
Source: RNAcentral
UUCACGAUCGACUAAUAGGAAAGUCGCACGGGUUCAAAUCCGGGGAGAUCUUGGUUCAAAUCCAAUUCGUGAUC